AAAUCCCCGCCCCUUCCCUCUCGCUCCAAACCGCCACGGGCGGCACGGCACCCACCCUCCCGACGCCCCUCCCCGCGCGCCCCACCCUCCCACUGCCCACCCGCAGCAGCCGCAGGAAGAGGAGUCGCCAAUCAGCCGCAGCAGCAGGAGACCGCCGCCGUCGGCAGGGUUCGUCGUUGUCAAGGGACGCGGCACGCGCGGCGGCGGGGGAGCAGCAUGUGGAGGGGAAGAAGUUCGCGACGCGGUUCGACGGCCUCCGAUUCCUUUUAGCCUCUGCUCCUAAGGCCCUCAAAAUGACUCCCGUCGGCGCUGCGUCCAGCAUGAAUUGAGUUGUGGCCUUGCGGGACGCCGGCGGCUGCUGGAACUGACAACUAGAUAUCUGAUUGCCAAGGAUUAUGUCAAAUUGAAUAUACGAUGAGGAACAAGGAACCGAACAAAAUAGAAAUCAAUUGCAAUUGAUCUAUUCUACCACUACCGUUUUUGUCGAUCUAGCUGCCGGCGUCCUAUCGGUAUCCCGGCCGGAAGCAGCCCUGACCUCAGUGUGACCAAAGCUCAACUUCUGUCUCGUGCAUGAUCACAAAGUAUCCGUGAAGAGUUCACAGUGCUCUUCCUGUCGUUGUGAAGCAGCACUUCCAGUAAUGGUAGUGCUCAGCGCCUCUGAUUUUUGCUUCAAAAAUUGUAACUUGCACAAGGCAUCCCGAGUCCUGAUGAUCCCAGUUUUGUAUCAACUGCUGCAAGAUGAAGCAAGAACUUAUAAAACUGGAUAUAUUUGAGACUUUGGACAUCUUCACUCUGGAAACUUGAUUUGCUAGCUAAGGCCAUUUGUUCUUUUAUUAGGAAUAUUCGCCAACCGUGCUAAGUAUUUCAGAAUUCAGAUAUGGUUCUCUAGCUCCAGUAGCCAGGUACCUUUCACCGACAACUAUUACACAUAUUGCAAAUUGAGAAGUUUGUCAUGCCAUGUCCGCUGCAACGCACGGGGUAUCAUCUAGUUUAGUUAAUACGCUUUCACAUUACAGUGAUUUGGCUACAUAGAGUUGCAAGCUGCAAUGUUCUGAUAUUUGUUAUGUUUUAAAGCAAUAUCUGCCUUAUAUAUAAUGAUAUAAUUAGGCUUUGAAUUUCUUGCUUAUGUUGUUCUUUAAAUAUCCCAAGUAACCUUUUCAGUUCUUUUUGUCAGGUUAAUUGAUAGAUCGAGUUGCACUUGCACAUAUCUUGUUUUAGGAAAUGCUCCAAUGGCCCUUGAAUCCAGCAAAGAUGGGUGGACACCGUUGCAUUUAGCUAUACAGAGUAGAAAUAGAGAUAUAACAAUGAUAUUGCUUGUCAAUGGUGCAGAUGAGACAAGAAGAAACAAGGUUACUUUUUUGGGGGUGAUGUUUCGAUUUACAAAUCAAAACAAGAUUGUUGCCUGAUAGAAAACUUAAGUGCUGCUAAGCUCACUUCGAAGAUCAUGGUCACGCGGCAUCUGGUGAAAUUUUGGUUGCUGCGAUUGUAUUUGGAAUGUAGCUGGAUUUGGCUGUUAACUGGGUUGUAAAUUUUGUGUUGUAUUGGAUGUUUGUCGGGUUGUGUUGGAUGCUAAUUAGGCUGUAACCUUUGUGCUAUAUGGGUUGUUAUUGUGUUUGAUUGUUGGGCCUAUAUGGGCUUAGCCCACUUGUUUAUCGAUGCAAUACAGAUGCCCGCCUUUAGCAA
Molecule: non-coding RNA, 1683 nt
Organism: Oryza sativa Japonica Group (Japanese rice)
Lineage: Eukaryota; Viridiplantae; Streptophyta; Magnoliopsida; Poales; Poaceae
Source: RefSeq, a predicted model, not a curated record